RNAcentral lists this transfer RNA (85 nucleotides) under Methylotenera sp. RNAcentral describes it as "tRNA-Leu". It matches the Rfam family "tRNA". From Rfam's summary of the family: Transfer RNA (tRNA) molecules are approximately 80 nucleotides in length. The record is from RNAcentral. Lineage: Bacteria; Pseudomonadati; Pseudomonadota; Betaproteobacteria; Nitrosomonadales; Methylophilaceae.
GCGAGAGUGGCGGAAUUGGUAGACGCACUGGAUUUAGGUUCCAGCGCCUUAGGGUGUAAGAGUUCGAGUCUCUUCUUUCGCACCA